AUUGAACGCUGGCGGCAGGCCUAACACAUGCAAGUCGAGCGGAUGAAGGGAGCUUGCUCCUGGAUUCAGCGGCGGACGGGUGAGUAAUGCCUAGGAAUCUGCCUGGUAGUGGGGGAUAACGUCCGGAAACGGGCGCUAAUACCGCAUACGUCCUGAGGGAGAAAGUGGGGGAUCUUCGGACCUCACGCUAUCAGAUGAGCCUAGGUCGGAUUAGCUAGUUGGUGGGGUAAAGGCCUACCAAGGAGACGAUCCGUAACUGGUCUGAGAGGAUGAUCAGUCACACUGGAACUAUGACACGGUCCAGACUCCUACGGGAGGCAGCAGUGGGGAAUAUUGGACAAUGGCCGUAAGCCUGAUCCAGCCAUGUCGCGUGUGUGAAGACGGUCUUCGGAUUGUAAAGCACUUCAAGUUGGGAGGAAGCGCAGUAAGUUAAUAACUUGCUGUUUUGACGUUCCAAAACGAAUAAGCACCGACUAACUUCGUG
Molecule: ribosomal RNA, 484 nt
Filed under: uncultured bacterium
Lineage: Bacteria
Description: partial 16S ribosomal RNA
Rfam family: Bacterial small subunit ribosomal RNA
Source: RNAcentral